UCCUCCUACAAAUGCGUGUUGGUGGUUCCUGUCAUUGGACACAUAAGAAUUGGAGGCAAAGAGAUGUGGACUUGGAGAAUUCUGGAGCCAGCUUGCUCCCCACAGGAUCAAGAUCACCCUUUCUCACACAG
This 131-nucleotide small nucleolar RNA is filed under the name Dasypus novemcinctus (nine-banded armadillo). RNAcentral describes it as "Small nucleolar RNA SNORA38 (ENSDNOG00000042631.1)". It matches the Rfam family "Small nucleolar RNA SNORA38". From Rfam's summary of the family: ACA38 is a member of the H/ACA class of snoRNA that guide the sites of modification of uridines to pseudouridines. Lineage: Eukaryota; Metazoa; Chordata; Mammalia; Cingulata; Dasypodidae. The record is from RNAcentral.